UUUUAUUUCGUUAGUGUAUAGAAAUUAAUUUUUUAUAACAUUUUAGAAACUUGGUGUAUUUAGAAUGCCUGUGUAAAAUAUUUUCCAUUAAUAGUAAAAAUCAAUCAAAUUAUUAAUGCAUCUGAUCGCAUAAGAUGUUAGUUUAAGGGUAAAUAAAACUUUUACUUAGUCACCUCAAGUGCCAAAAUCUAGAUCACUUCAAAGACGAUGGAAAAACAUAAUGAUUAGUUAAUUUUACUUUUAAUUUAUAAUAAUUUUUUGUUUCCAAUUAUUUUUAAAAAUGAAAUCAGUAACUAAGAUAUAAUAUACAUCAUCCGAGUUGAAUUGAAUUAUAAGAAUUGAUAAUGAGUAUAAAAAUAUAAAAGCAGUUAAUUAGGUUAUUGAAAAUAUAAAGGGAGAAAGUAGGGAAAUAAUGAGAUGAAAAAAGAAACAUACAUGUAGAGUAGAAGAGGGUGAGGAAUUAGAAGUGGUAUUGAUGUCAUGGAGACGGAGGUGUCGGUGAUGGUUGUUGUUAUUGGUAAUGUUGCCCUCAACAUCAACAACGUUUUCAACAAAGCGUGUUGUGUCUUGGUGCCUUAGAAAACCAUGAUGACUUUGCUCCAAAUUCAAACCCAAUGGUAAUUGCAUUCCUCCACUUCUCAAAUUUGUUGUGGACCCCAAUUGUAACACAUGAUCAUCUACUACUAUACCUCUAUUACUACUAUUAUUGUUAUUCCUCCCAUAUCCGCUCUCAGGUACUGCUAAGAUCUGCUCGAAGAAAUCGUCACCUAAUCCCUCCGAACUACAAUUACCUGCCAUAACACCUAAUUUUAUCGAUUCUAAUGCUUUAAUAUUCACACAUUUCUUCUCUUCUGUUUCUAUCGGUUACAAAUUCAACCACCAAAAGCGGAAAACAAGGAAACACGGUUGGAAUUUGGGGGCUUCGCUUCCCGAUAAUGUUUUUGAUUUGUAACGGAGUGAGAAUGAAGAACAGAAUUUGGGACUUUGUUGUUAAUGUUUUUCACUACACAUAUAGAUAGAGAGGAGAAAAGAAUGGUGAGUGCGCUACGGGUUUUAAAAAGACUAAAAACGACGUGAGGGAGUAUUGAUGUCAUGGAGACGGAGGUGUCGGUGAUGGUUGUUGUUAUUGGUAAUGUUGCCCUCAACAUCAACAACGUUUUCAACAAAGCGUGUUGUGUCUUGGUGCCUUAGAAAACCAUGAUG
RNAcentral lists this long non-coding RNA (1203 nucleotides) under Cicer arietinum (chickpea). RNAcentral describes it as "long non-coding RNA (CARI_LNC000961)". The record is from RNAcentral. Lineage: Eukaryota; Viridiplantae; Streptophyta; Magnoliopsida; Fabales; Fabaceae.